GAGUUCAAAAGUACGUGAAACCGUUCAGGGGUAAACCUGAGAAACCCGAAAGGUCGAAAGGGAAGAUUCAUACGCGUCUCGGAAGCGUCGGCGUGUCGUCAACGAUCGACGACGGUGGGCGUUCGUCCGUCCGCGCCGGUCUCGACCGUCCGAUCCCGAACGCGUGCACUUCUUCCCCUGUAGGACGUCGCGACCCGUCGGGCGUCGGUCUAAGGCCCGCAAGGAAGCCCGGGUGCGUUUCUGCGCGCCCGGACCCGCGGUCGCCCGGCCGACGCGCAUAAUAACCGACGGUAAAACGAAGGCGCGGAGCCGCGACACUACAAGUUCGCGUCCGACCCGUCGCAAGCGCGCACGGUCGAACACCGAAGUCCGGACCUGGUGCCGGACCCGGGCCCGUGUGGCUGCUGGCGGCGGCGUUCUCGGACAGACUCCGAUCGCACGCCAGUCGGCGACGCUAUAGCUUUGGGUACUUUCAGGACCCGUCUUGAAACACGGACCAAGGAGUCUAGCAUGUGCGCGAGUCGUUGGGACUCUGACUAAACCCAAAGGCGCAAUGAAAGUGAAAGUCCGUCUAGCGCGGACCGAGGGAGGACGGGCGGUCCGUACGCGGUCGCUGCACUCCCGGGGCGUCUCGUUCUCAUCGCGAGAAGAGGCGCACCUAGAGCGUACACGCUGGGACCCGAAAGAUGGUGAACUAUGCCUGGUCAGGACGAAGUCAGGGGAAACCCUGAUGGAGGUCCGUAGCGAUUCUGACGUGCAAAUCGAUCGUCGGAACUGGGUAUAGGGGCGAAAGACUAAUCGAACCAUCUAGUAGCUGGUUC
Molecule: ribosomal RNA, 821 nt
Filed under: Cucochodaeus sparsus
Lineage: Eukaryota; Metazoa; Arthropoda; Insecta; Coleoptera; Ochodaeidae
Description: eukaryotic LSU rRNA
Rfam family: Eukaryotic large subunit ribosomal RNA
Source: RNAcentral